Molecule: long non-coding RNA, 7631 nt
Organism: Neofelis nebulosa (Clouded leopard)
Lineage: Eukaryota; Metazoa; Chordata; Mammalia; Carnivora; Felidae
Exons: 4
Source: RefSeq, a predicted model, not a curated record
GAAAGAAAGAAAGAAAGAAAGAAAGAAAGAAAGAAAGAAAGAAAGAAAGAAAGAAAGAGAAAGAAAGAAAGAAAGAAAGAAAGAAAGAAAGAAAGAAAGAAAGAAAGAAAGAAAGAAAGAAAGAAAGAAAGAAAUAGGACUACAAGCGAGUAAGGGGAUACAUACAAAGGCCCUGCUGUGGUUUUCCCAGGAAACUCAUGGUUUGUUUCCAUCCCAUGACUCAUCACUGAUUCAGUAAGUGAAAGAAAGCCUGAAGGAAAGCCAGUGGAUUGUUCUGAAUAUCACUGUUCUGGGAUCACAGGGAGCCAUCUUUGAAUCUGCUCACCACUGUCUGCCUCCUGGCUCCCAGUGGUUUACCCCCUUCUGCGUAUCCCUCCCAUACACAAAGUACAUUCACCUCCUUCCAAGGGGAGCCAAGAGCCUCAACGUCGAGAAUCUCAUGAUCUAAGUCAGGAACUAUAGUCUUUGUGUGAAAUUCCUCUAGAUUUAUCAAUUAUUUAAACCAGAGAGACAAGUUAUCUGCCCCUUGCCUCUGUGACCUGCAAUUAUGGGAUAGGCAUAGAUUAAUACCUAUGUACAUUUCAGUUCAAAAGGCAGAAAUGGGAGGUACAGAAGAGUGCUGGGAAUAAUUCUCCUUGGCUCUGCCCCCUGGGUUCUUGAUUCCAUCCUGUCUUUUUCAGUGAAAGAAAGGACAUAUUUACAGUGUAAUAAUGCCAUCAGUCUGCUUCCUGCAAGUGGGAUUUUGUGAGUCCAAACGCCUCUUUUCUUGGUACUAUUUCUAUCCCUUUCAGCCCAACGUGGUAGUAUUUUUGAUGAAAUAACUUUCUCAAAAAUUUUAGGCAUCUUCCAUGGAUUUCACUGGGGCUCGUUCCAUUCGACAAGAACCACAUCUUACAGAUAUUUCUGACAUAAGUCCUUUUGAGAUACGACCUUCUCCACCAUCUCCUGCUGGGAUGGCUGUGGGACCAGGCUCCUAAGCUUCCCCCUGGCCCUUUGAUUUAAUUUAGAGGAUCUGGAAGACAUAGCCUUAAUGUUUUGAGAGGACCCUUUAUGUGACUCUGCUUUUCUGAUCUGUCUUGAGAUUUUAACAAAAGGUUGUAAAGUCACGCUCUUGGUUUUUUCUCCUUGCCGUAUUUUCCUGACAGUGCAAGGAAGCCAUUCCUUAAUUUUAGCAUCAUUUGCCAUCUGAGAAGUCUAAUACUUUUCAAAAUUAAGUGCUGUUCUUUGUGUAACGGGUUUCCCUCAAUUUAUCUGUUAUCCUUGUGCAUUUUAUUAUUAUUAUUAUUAUUAUUAUUAUUAUUUAAUUUGAGAGAGAGACAGAGAACAUAAGUGGGGAAGAGGGACAGAGGGUGUGAGAGGGAGAGAGAAGCAGGCUUCACGCUCAGUGCGGAGCCUCAUGUGGGGUUCAAUCCCACAAUCCUGGGAUCAUGACCUGAGCUGAAAUCAAGAGUCAGACACAACUGACUGAGCCACUCAGGUGUCCCUUCCUGUACAUUUUAAUAUGAGCAGCAACAAGGAAUCAGGUGAUAACCUUCUUCACUUUGCUUACAAAUCUCUUUAGCUAACUAAUCAAGGUCAUUCCUUACAUGUUCUGCUUUCAGUUUAGCUGCAGGAGACAACUUUGCUGAGCUAUCUGACACUACGUGGUAAGCAUUUCCCUUUCUGUUUUCCAGUAACAUGUUCCCCACUUCCUUCUAAGACUUCAUCAGCAGUGUCCUCAGAAUCCCUUCUACUAACAAUCUAUUGAAGCCAGUUUAGGUUUUGUCUCUCAUAUCCUUCAAAAUUCUUCCAGUCUCCACACAGUUCCAAAGUCACUCUUGUAUUUUUAUGUAUUUGUUACAGCAGCGCCCCACCUUCACAUACCAGUCCAUAUUGAUAGGUUUUAUGUACGUCUCCCAAGCUGAGUUAAGGGAAAUUGAAGGUUGACGCACUCUGAUUUCUUUUAUUUUAUUUUUUAUUUUUAUUUUUAACAUUUAUUUAGUUUUGAGAGACAGAGCAUGAGCGGGGGAGGGCCAGAGAGAGAGGGAGACGCAGAGUCCGAAGCAGGCUCCAGGCUCUGAGCUGUCCACACAGAGCCUGACGCGGGGCUCGAACCCAUGCACCGUGAGAUCAUGACCUGAGCCGAAGCCGGACGCUUAACUGGCUGAACCACCCAGGUGCCCCAACUCACUUUGAUUUCUUAAGUGUUGAAUGAAAGCUUAGCGAACUUCAGUAGCAUGUUAGGUGUAAGAAAAACAAUUUGAUGGCAGUUACCUUUUUGCGAAAUGUUGACACUAUUGUCCUGACUCUAUUAUUCCAUCAUAAUAGAUAGAUUUCUUUUCUCUGCACAUUUAUAGGCCUGGGGGCUUCAGUCUCUCUCUUCUGAGUGGGUAGGGAAAAUUUCCUUGAAGCAAAGCCACCGGGUAAAGAUUCUAGGCUUAGCAUCAAGGACAAUGGGUAAGUGGCUUAGAGAGUAUUAGGGAUGGAACAUUUGGUGCUGGGUUUGUGUUUUCUGAUCUCCAACCCAUUUCAAAACAUGGAUUCCCCAGUAGGCCAUUGGGCCACUGCCUGCAUGUUUCCUCCAGCACCCUGACCUUUGAGCAGGAUGAGAGUUCCUAUGAUGGCUGUCCCCUGGGGUAGCAGCCAAGGUACCCAACCAUCCUGACACAUGAUAAAGAAGCUUCAGGCUAGAAAGCACUCCUGGCAACCCUGUUCUGCCUCUAAUGAGUCAAGUUGGCAGUGAGAUUCCAUGACCUGCGUCCACUUCUGGGAAUACACCCAGAGGCCCUGGGAUCCCACCUGGGGGCUUCCCACAGCUCAAGAUACUGCUUGGUAUUCAUUCUUGGUCCCCACUAAUCUGGAACAUUUCCUGUAGCAAAUACCAGGAUGACAAAUCUAUAGACAUCUGAAUGCCCUAAGAAUCAUGCCUGUCUAACUUGGUCUGUAUCACAUGAGCUUAAUUCAGCAUGAUCUCAUGAGUGCCACAGGCACGUCCUUAUAACUUAGUGUCCUUAUAUCUGAGUUGAUUGAGUGAAUCAUUUUUCUGCAUGGGAAAUUGUUAUUACAUGUACGGCACCCAUCUUUAUAGAUGUUUCCAUUUCAUCUAGGUCAAUGUAUUCCUCAGUUCUAACUAGGAUCCUGUUCUCCACUCUCACAUAAAUGUAUUCUCUUUCUUCUUUGAAAGAUUAAUUUUUUACUUCUUAUCUAUUAGGGAAGCUCUCUCAGUCAUGGGUGGCCCUGUCUUGUAAUUACCUCCAGGAGUUUUCAUCCAACUUUCCAAUCAGUUUUAAUUAAACUCAUUAUCUGUUUUCCUUUUUAGGCGGAUAGGAGGCAGAGUUCCCAGGAACAGGGUUGUAUGGUAAUAAUUGUUUCAGUUGAUGUGAGAAAUAGGCAGUCUUAGAGUCCCUUGCUAAGCAGAAAAUGCCAAUUCUUUAAGAAGAAAAAUACGUAUAAAGGCAACUCUUGUUUUAUUAGUUAUUUUAGAGUAGGUUCCUAGGCAAGUCAAGUUGAAUCACAUUAUUUUCAAUCAUCAGUCCUGGAGUGUAAGUUGUCCACAGGCAAACAAAGGAUAAGCUGGUUUGGUAGAGACAAGCAUACCAUUUCUUCAUCUGUGCCUGUCUGCUCUCAAGAACAGAUGGGCCCUUCUCUUUUCUCUUUGCCUAAGGUAUAGUGAGUUUAAUGGUAGCCUCUAAAAUAUGUGUUCAACCAGAACCUGUGAAUAGGACCUUAUUUGGAAUGGGUCUUGGCUGAUGUAAUUAUGUUAAGAAUCUUAAGAUGAGAAAGUGCCUGGGUGGCUCAGUCAGUUAAGCUUUUGACUCCUGGUCUCAGCUCAGGUCUUGAUCUCAGGGUCGUGAGUUCAGGCCCCACACUGGGCUCCACACUGGGCAUGGAGCCGACUUAAAAAAAAAAGGAUAUUAAGAUGCGAUCAUCCUGGGUUUGGAAUAAGCUCUAAAUCAAUGUCCGGUGUCUUUAGAAGAGAAAGGCAGAGGGAGACAGAGACACAGACACAAAAACAUGAACACACAGAGCAGGUGAUGUGAGGACAGAGGCAGAGAUUGGAGAUAUGCAGCCAAGGAACACCAAGGGUUGCUGGCAGCCAUGAGAAUCUAGGAAGAGGUCAGGGAAUGGAUUCUCCCUCAGAGCCUCCAGAAAGAACAAAUCCUGCCCACACCUAGGUUUUGAACUUCUGGCCUCCAGAAUUAUGGGAGAAUAAAUCCUGGUUUGUGCUCAUUUAUUAUUGCAGCCCUAAGAAACUAACACAUAUGGCAUGUGGCAGGGAUGUGGUGGGUUACUAUUUGCAGUAUCUUUUGGCAUCAUGGGAUAAUCUGGGUUCCCUUCAAGAGAGAGAUUUGGGGACCAGAAGGUUAUUUGGAGCUGGUGGGUUCAGACUGGCUAUUUCAAGGCCUUUGAAGUCAAAGGAGGCCAAGACAGGGGCUGGAGGUCUCCUGGCCCCAUAACACCAGGCACUUGGCUAAAGGAGGAUCAGAAAGGAGUCUACUUCUGUCAUGUGAGACCAGUCCAUGCUGUCUGGGUGGAAAACUAACACUUGCUGAGACAAGAUUUAUUUGGGCUUAGAUAAGCAUAAGGAGAUUUCCACAGAUUGUCCUCUCCUAGGCAGUACUGCAGGCCAGAAAAGAGGUAGCCAGGCCCAUUCUGGGUAUAUUUGAAUCUUAAGAAACACUAGCCUACACUGUGGAAAACAGUAUAGUGGUUUCCCAAAAUAUUAAAAAUAUUACCAUAUGAUCCAGCAAUUCCACUUCUGGGUACAUACUCAAAAGAAUUGAAAGCAGGCUCUCAAAGAGAUAUUUGUACACCCAUGUUCAUAGCAACAUUAUUCACAGUAGCCAGAAUGUGAAAGCAACACAAGUGUCCAUCCACAGAUGAAUGGAUAGGGAAAAUGUGGUAUGUACAUACAAUAGAAUAUUGAGCCUUAAAAAAGAAGGAAAUUCUGACAUGUGACAAUAUAGAUGAAUUUUGAGGACAUUAUGUUAAGUGAAAUAAGCCAUUCAUAAAAAGAUAAUACCUAUAUAAUUCCACUUAGAUGAAGUACUUAGACUAGUCAGAAUUAUAUUUGAGAUUUUCCUUGCUUUUUGAGGUAGGCUGUAUUGCUAUAAACUUCCCUCUCAGAACUACUUUUGCUGUAUCCCAAAGAUUUUGGACCAUUGUGUUUUCAUUUCAUUUGUUUUCAUGUAAUUUUUAACUUCUUGGUUGACCCAUUCAUUGUUUAAUAGCCUGUUAUUUAACCUGUAUGUAUUUGUGCUCUUUUCAGACUUUUUUCUUGUGGUUUAUUUCUAGUUUUAUAGUGUUGUGAUUGGCAAAGGUGCAUGGUAUGACUUCGAUUUUUUUGAGAUUUGUCAUGUGGCCAAAUAUGUGGUCUAUUCUGGAGAAUGUUCCAUGUGUAUUUGAAAAGAAUGUGUAUUCUGCUGUUUUAAGAUGGAAUGUUCUGAAUGUGUCUGUUAAAUCCAUCUGGUCUAGUGUGUCAUUCAAAGCCACUGUUUCACUGUUGGUUUUCUGUUUGGAUGAUCUGUCCAUCAAUGCAAGUGGGCUCUUAAAGUCUCCAACUAUUAUUGUCUUACUACCGAUUAUUUCUUUUAUGUUUGUUAUUAACUCCUUUACCUAUUUUGGUGCUUUCAUGCUGGGUGCAUAAAUAUUUACAAUUGUUAUAUCUUCUUGUUGGAUUGUCCCCUUUAUUAUUAUAUAGUGUCCUUCUUUGUCUGUUGUUACUAGACUAGUCAAAAUUAUAGAGACAGAAAAUAAAAUGGUGGUUGUCAGGGGCUGGGGAGAGGGAGGAACAGAGGAGUUAGUGUUUAAUGGAUACAAAGUUUCAGUUUUACAAGAAUGAAAAGAUUUAUGGAUACAGAUGAUGGUGAUGGUUGCCCAACAUUAUGAACAUACUUAAUAUCAUUGAACUGUAUGCUUAAAAAUGAUUAAGAUGGUAAAUUUUGUAUAAUACAUAUUUUAUUAUAAUAAAAUAAUUGGAAAAAAAAAGAAACACUGGACUAAUGGACUAAUGCCUUGGCAGAGUCCCCUGAGAGAGAAGUUGAGAGAUAGUCUAUUUGACAUUUUAUCAGUCAGGGCUCUCUACAAACACUGGCACAUUUAGAUCCCUACAGAGUAAAAAUUAAUUGGAAAUAGCUAAUCUUAAUAGAGAAAGAGGAAAGAAUGGCCACUCUCCCUUCCUGGUCACCUGUUAUGGAGAAUCUAUAGACUUCCACUAGUGAUGUCAUCAUCAAAGCUGCCAGAGGGGCCAGAGGAUCUGAGUUCUAACUGGGAGCAAGUUUGUGCAGGUACUGUCUUCAUUGAGACAGAAAAACGUGCUAAACAGAGGGGAGAACAAUUCACUCAUGCCCAUGAGACCUGGGUUCUAAUUCUGGCUGUGCUGCUAAUUUCUGCUUGGUAUAUAUCCAUUGGAUUUUUGACUGCCAAAUCUGAAUCCCCUUCCUACCCAUGGGAGAAUCCACAGAGCUCAUCUCCUGCCACUUUCCUGGGCUUUAGGAUCUAGAAGGUGCGUCCUUUUUUCAUCCAGUGAUGAGGGUCCACUGUGUGCAUCUGGUGUCCAACGGAGAAGGUCCAAGCAGAGCUGAAAAAGUGAUGAAGCCUGCCACAGAAUAUUCUUUAUGAAGCGCUGAAAAACCCGCUAUGACACCAUAGUAUCCUAAAGCUAUCCUGGAAUGUUAGUGAUCUUGAGUUACAAGUUCCUAAGAGGAAAGAUUACAGAACUCUGUGAUGCUUUGAAAAAUUCCUACUCACAACCUUUUCUCUUUUUCCUCCACCUGACAAGCUAUUCUUAAAACCAUUGUCAUUACUACUAUUUUUUGUUUCUUCAGAUUCACCUACAACCCCUCAAAAAUCCUUGGCUGUGACAUCUUGAGAUUUUGGAACAAUCUGGCUCAUUAUUGUGACUAGAAACCAGAUAAUGAAAUUUGUGUUUGGCUUAACUACCAGGGAAAGGAGCAUGGAGACAUAAGCCACACAUAGUCUUUCUAGUACCUUACUUUGAUCAAAUGUCAGGGUUAUGAAUAAUAGAAAUCCUGGUUUAGUUGGGGAGUUGACUAAAUAUCACAGAGUUACUAUGUUAUUCUAAAGUAAACAAACAUGUCUUUUGUUGUCUUUGUCUUUUUUUUCUACAGAUGUAUUUUUAAAAGCUUUAUAUUUUAAUAAUGUGGAUUCAUUACUAUUGAUGACAUCUGAUCAGUAGCUUACAAAUAUGAAUUGGAAGAUUAAUUAUCUAGGGGAAACUUUGGAAAGGGCUGGAGAAUGUUUCAUUAACAGAGCUGGGUUUCCACGUAGAUGCCGAAAGCACUUCCAUUCCCAGACCUCCUUAUAGCUCUGAUUAUGUGUCCUGAUUCUGGCCAAUGUGAUUAAAGAGGAAAUCAGCAGGAAACUUCUGUAAGGCCUUUCCUCUCUUAAAAGAGAAAUGCUUGUGACAGUGUUGAGUGGUAUCCUGUGGAAUGGACGUGCCACAGUUCAUUUAACUACUCACUGCUGAAGGACACCUGAGUUGUUUCCAGUUUGCAGAUAUCAUGAAGAAAGUUGCUGCGAACAUUUGUACAGAUUUUUGUGUGAAGAUAAAUCUCCAUUGCUCUGGGAUAAAUGCCCAAGAGAGCAAUUUCUGGGUCAUCUGUAUGUUGGUUUAUUUAUCAUUUUCACUC